GCGUGGAGACAGGUGGUGCAUGGCUGUCGUCAGCUCGUGUCGUGAGAUGUUGGGUUAAGUCCCGCAACGAGCGCAACCCUCACCCCUGAUUGCCACCGGGUAAAGCCGAGCACUCGAGGGGAACUGCCAGCGUCAAGCUGGAGGAAGGCGGGGAUGACGUCAAGUCAUCAUGCCCCUUACGCCCUGGGCUACACACGUGCUACAAUGGCCGGUACAAAGGGACGCGAGACCGCGAGGUGGAGCUAAUCCCAAAAAACCGGUCUAAGUUCAGAUUGCAGUCUGCAACUCGACUGCAUGAAGGAGGAAUCGCUAGUAAUCGCGCAUCAGCACGGCGCGGUGAAUACGUUCCCGGGCCUUGUACACGCCGCCCGUCACACCACGAAAGUCAGCUGUACUCGAAGUCGCUGAG
This 409-nucleotide ribosomal RNA is filed under the name uncultured Methylomirabilota bacterium. RNAcentral describes it as "bacterial SSU rRNA". It matches the Rfam family "Bacterial small subunit ribosomal RNA", at positions 1026 to 1434 of the family's 1533-position model. Lineage: Bacteria; Methylomirabilota (SeqCode). The record is from RNAcentral.